CUYGAUGGUAGUGUAUUGGACUACCAUGAGGAUAACGGGUACGAGGAAUUAGGGUUCGAUAUCGGAGAGGGAGCCUGAGAAACGGCUACCACUUCUAAGGAAGGCAGCAGGCGCGUAAAUUACCCAAUCCCGACUCGGGGAGGUAGUGACAAGAAAUAAUAACGCGGAUACUUUUUAGUAUGACGUGAUUAAAAUGAGAACAAUCUAAAAAACUUAUCGAGGAACAAUGAGAGGACAAGUCUGGUGCCAGCACCCGCGGUAAUUCCAGCUCUUAUAGUGUAUAUUAAAGUUGUUGCAGUUAAAAAGCUCGUAGUCGAUCAUCUAGUUGCGAUCCACGCGGCUUCYAGUCGUGUGGCGUCGCUGCUAUCAGCUCGAGAACGGAGARCGGCCUUWACUGGUCGGCUCCGCAGAUCGGGCACUUUCCUGAGAAAAAAUUAGAGUGUUCAAAGCAGGUCAUUGCCUUGAAUAUUACAGCUUGGAAUAAUAGAAUAAGACUGAAGUCGCUUUUGUUGGUUAUGAGGCUUUAGUAAUGGUUAAUAGAAACAGUCGGGGGCAUUAGUAUUUAAUUGUCAGAGGUGAAAUUCUUGGAUUUAUUAAAGACUAACUUAUGCGAAAGCAUUUGCCAAGGAUGUUUUCAAUUGAUCAAGAACGAAAGUUAGGGGAUCAAAGACGAUCAGAUACCGUC
RNAcentral lists this ribosomal RNA (685 nucleotides) under uncultured ciliate. RNAcentral describes it as "bacterial SSU rRNA". It matches the Rfam family "Eukaryotic small subunit ribosomal RNA", at positions 323 to 1030 of the family's 1831-position model. Lineage: Eukaryota; Ciliophora. The record is from RNAcentral.